GAUGAAGAACGUAGCGAAAUGCGAUAAGUAGUGUGAAUUGCAGAAUUCAGUGAAUCAUCGAAUCUUUGAACGCACAUUGCGCCCCUUGGUAUUCCAUGGGGCAUGCCUGUUCGAGCAUCAUCUACACCCUCAAGCUCUGCUUGGUGUUGGGCGUCUGUCCCGCCUUUGCGCGUGGACUCGCCCCAAAUUCAUUGGCAGCGGUCCUUGCCUCCUCUCGCGCAGCACAUUUGCGCUUCUCGAGGUGCGCGGGCCGCGUCCACGAAGCAACUAUUACCGUCUUUGACCUCGGAUCAGGUAGGGAUACCCGCUGAACUUAAGCAUAUCAAUAAGCGGAGGA
Molecule: unclassified non-coding RNA, 337 nt
Filed under: soil metagenome
Description: partial contains 5.8S ribosomal RNA, internal transcribed spacer 2, and large subunit ribosomal RNA
Rfam family: 5.8S ribosomal RNA (bases 1-120)
Source: RNAcentral